RNAcentral lists this ribosomal RNA (451 nucleotides) under uncultured bacterium. RNAcentral's name for it is "bacterial SSU rRNA". It matches the Rfam family "Bacterial small subunit ribosomal RNA", at positions 354 to 796 of the family's 1533-position model. The record is from RNAcentral.
GUGGGGAAUAUUGGACAAUGGGGGGAACCCUGAUCCAGCCAUGCCGCGUGUGUGAAGAAGGCCUUUUGGUUGUAAAGCACUUUAAGCGAGGAGGAGGCUACCGAGAUUAAUACUCUUGGAUAGUGGACGUUACCCGCAGAAUAAGCACCGGCUAACUCUGUGCCAGCAGCCGCGGUAAUACAGAGGGUGCAAGCGCUAAUCGGAUUUACUGGGCGUAAAGCGCGCGCAGGUGGCCAAUUAAGUCAAAUGUGAAAUCCCCGAGCUUAACUUGGGCAUUGCAUUCGAUACUGGUUGGCUAGAGUAUGGGAGAGGAUGGUAGAAUUCCAGGUGUAGCGGUGAAAUUCGUAGAGAUCUGGAGGAAUACCGAUGGCGAAGGCAGCCAUCUGGCCUAAUACUGACACUGAGGUGCGAAAGCAUGGGGAGCAAACAGGAUUAGAAACCCCUGUAGUCC